AGAACGAACGCUGGCGGCAUGCCUAACACAUGCAAGUCGAACGAGACCUUCGGGUCUAGUGGCGCACGGGUGCGUAACGCGUGGGAAUCUGCCCUUAGGUACGGAAUAACAGUGAGAAAUUACUGCUAAUACCGUAUGAUGUCUUCGGACCAAAGAUUUAUCGCCUAGGGAUGAGCCCGCGUAGGAUUAGCUAGUUGGUGGGGUAAAGGCCUACCAAGGCUACGAUCCUUAGCUGGUCUGAGAGGAUGAUCAGCCACACUGGGACUGAGACACGGCCCAGACUCCUACGGGAGGCAGCAGUGGGGAAUAUUGGACAAUGGGCGAAAGCCUGAUCCAGCAAUGCCGCGUGAGUGAAGAAGGCCUUCGGGUUGUAAAGCUCUUUUACCCGGGAAGAUAAUGACUGUACCGGAGAAUAAGCCCGGCUAACUCCGCGCCAGCAGCCGC
This 444-nucleotide ribosomal RNA is filed under the name uncultured bacterium. RNAcentral describes it as "SSU rRNA". It matches the Rfam family "Bacterial small subunit ribosomal RNA", at positions 26 to 518 of the family's 1533-position model. The record is from RNAcentral.